Molecule: long non-coding RNA, 1024 nt
Organism: Cephus cinctus (wheat stem sawfly)
Lineage: Eukaryota; Metazoa; Arthropoda; Insecta; Hymenoptera; Cephidae
Exons: 3
Source: RefSeq, a predicted model, not a curated record
CGUUACGGUUACUGUUAUUAUUGCAAAUUAGCGUUUUCCAUGAUCCUCAGACAUUACAAUAGCAGUAUUGCCUCGUUUGCAAUUCUAUGAUAUGGAAAUUCCAGUUGGUUUGUAUCCUGUUGUAGCUGAAGAUGCUGGACCCACUAAACUCUUGCGUCACCAUUAAUAAUUUCCAACCGAAAUGAGGAAAAAGAAGAGGGGAGCCACUAUGAAAACACACCAGAAACUUACAACUGUCUCGCAAACGCAUUCCUGUGAGGAAUGUAGAUUCUAAAUUUACAAAUUACAAGCAAUUACAAAUCGAAGGAUCAAUCUACAAAUUUGGGAUGAUUCAUUGGAUGCUGGACAUUUAUCAAGAAUAUGGAUAAAAUUAAAAUUAAACUAUCGAUACCUGGAUCCAUCUGACGUCUACCGAUAUCAGGCUCUAGGGUCAAAGUGUCAAAUAAUAUUAAGCUUACAAUUACUUUGGAUAAAAUCAGUCAGGCUAGAAAGUAAAUGAUGAACGAGUGACAGUUGAUAAAUUGGAUAAUAAUUAGAUAGAAAACAAUUUUUAGAAAUCCGGUAAAAAUUAUAUUCCAAUAUCAUAAAGUUGGUACUCAAAUAGAGUCAAUAUUCAUUAUGGUUUGAGUAACUGUCACAAAGUCACAAGAUGUUGUCAGACACGCAAGCAUAUCCUUCACGAGUGAGUGGGUGUACCAUUUCAGCCCCACUGAUUAUAUCCGACCUUUGACUUAUGGAUAUUAUAAUAAUACCACGAGGUCCCAUAGACAUAAUAAUAGAAUAUAGCCGUAGGACCUAAAUACACUGCGCUUUGUGGUUUAGUCCCAGUUGUUGGGGAUAAGCGAUAGUCUUGGCUGAUAACCGCAAUGGUCGGACGGACAGAUAAGGGUGGUACGAUACCGUGUUACCAUAAGGGUUUGUAAUAGCUGCAUCAAGGAUCAGGGAGGACGCUAGAAAAAGAAGUAGAAAAUGGAAAGGAGAGACGGAAUGGGAUGCUGUAUGAUCUUGGGAACAAUAUCCAAAA